AAAGCUCCUGUUUCACCUGUUCAAUGUCACAAUCACUAUAUAAAGCAUCUCACAAUAUGGACUGUGCCUGUAUACACAAUGCUGUCACCUGCACUUUUUUUUUUUUUUUUUUCUGAAGGCUCUUCUCUGGGCCAUCUGGAAGCAACCCAAAGGUGCUGAAUGUGUGCUUGAUCUAAAAUGGGUGCUCAUGGCUUGAAGAAGUUCUGCUCCUUCUGUCGUUUUGUGGAGCUGGCUGCACGUUGCAGAAUGCUGCUCUGACACACCUAUUAGGGACAGUUGUGGACAACCAGCCCAGCCGCCCUUCCUUUACUCAACACAAAGCCUCCUGUGACGCUUGCUUGCAGAAAACGUGGGGAGAACGCAUUGGUAAUGAAUUUGGUGUACCCAAAGACGCUCCUGCGGCCGCCCCCAGAUGCAGCAGGAGUUUUCAUGCUGUGGCACAAAGCUGCCCCUCCUCAGCCGAGAGCCGGCCGGGGCACGAGCCUGACCCCCAGAAAACAGACAGAUCUCAACGCGCGGUGCACAUUUGGGGUAAUUUACGCGUGUUGACAGCAAAGGGGCAUUUGUGGCCCUGCCCCAUGGGCAAA
This is a non-coding RNA of Anas platyrhynchos (mallard), 587 nucleotides long. NCBI's taxonomy places the organism in Eukaryota, Metazoa, Chordata, Aves, Anseriformes, Anatidae. The record is from RefSeq and is a predicted model, not a curated record.